UCUUGGAGAGUUUGAUCCUGGCUCAGGACGAACGCUGGCGGCGUGCUUAACACAUGCAAGUCGAACGAAGAGCGAUGGAAGCUUGCUUCUAUCAAUCUUAGUGGCGAACGGGUGAGUAACGCGUAAUCAACCUGCCCUUCAGAGGGGGACAACAGUUGGAAACGACUGCUAAUACCGCAUACGAUCCAAUCUCGGCAUCGAGACUGGAUGAAAGGUGGCCUCUAUUUAUAAGCUAUCACUGAAGGAGGGGAUUGCGUCUGAUU
Molecule: ribosomal RNA, 263 nt
Filed under: Megasphaera micronuciformis
Lineage: Bacteria; Bacillati; Bacillota; Negativicutes; Veillonellales; Veillonellaceae
Description: partial 16S ribosomal RNA
Rfam family: Bacterial small subunit ribosomal RNA
Source: RNAcentral